RNAcentral lists this ribosomal RNA (433 nucleotides) under uncultured bacterium. RNAcentral describes it as "partial 16S ribosomal RNA". It matches the Rfam family "Bacterial small subunit ribosomal RNA", at positions 29 to 507 of the family's 1533-position model. The record is from RNAcentral.
AACGAACGCUGGCGGCAUGCCUAACACAUGCAAGUCGAACGAGACCUUCGGGUCUAGUGGCGCACGGGUGCGUAACGCGUGGGAACCUGCCCUUAGGUUCGGAAUAACUCCCCGAAAGGGGUGCUAAUACCGGAUAAUGUCUUCGGACCAAAGAUUUAUCGCCUUUGGAUGGGCCCGCGUUGGAUUAGCUAGUUGGUAGGGUAAAAGCCUACCAAGGCGACGAUCCAUAGCUGGUCUGAGAGGAGGAUCAGCCACACUGGGAAUGAGACACGGCCCAGACUCCUACGGGAGGCAGCAGUGGGGAAUAUUGGACAAUGGGCGAAAGCCUGAUCCAGCAAUGCGGGGUGAGUGAUGAAGGCCUUAGGGUUGUAAAGCUCUUUUACACGGGAUGAUAAUGACAGUACCGGGAGAAUAAGCUCCGGCUAACUACGUG